RNAcentral lists this ribosomal RNA (469 nucleotides) under uncultured bacterium. RNAcentral describes it as "partial 16S ribosomal RNA". It matches the Rfam family "Bacterial small subunit ribosomal RNA", at positions 27 to 507 of the family's 1533-position model. The record is from RNAcentral.
GGACGAACGCUGGCGGCGUGCUUAACACAUGCAAGUCGAACGGAAAGGCCCUGCUUUUGUGGGGUGCUCGAGUGGCGAACGGGUGAGUAACACGUGAGUAACCUGCCCUUGACUUUGGGAUAACUUCAGGAAACUGGGGCUAAUACCGGAUAGGAGCUCCUGCUGCCUGGGGGGGGUUGGAAAGUUUCGGCGGUUGGGGAUGGACUCGCGGCUUAUCAGCUUGUUGGUGGGGUAGUGGCUUACCAAGGCUUUGACGGGUAGCCGGCCUGAGAGGGUGACCGGCCACAUUGGGACUGAGAGACGGCCCAGACUCCUACGGGAGGCAGCAGUGGGGAAUAUGACACAAUGAGCGGGAGCCUGAUGCAGCAACGCCGCGAGCGGAAUGACGGCCUUCGGGGUAUAAACCGCUUUCGCCUGUGACGAAGCGUGAGUGACGGUAAUGGGUAAAGAAGCACCGGCUAACUACGUG